This is a long non-coding RNA of Photinus pyralis (common eastern firefly), 1339 nucleotides long. RefSeq lists it as uncharacterized. The transcript is spliced from 2 exons. The record is from RefSeq and is a predicted model, not a curated record. NCBI's taxonomy places the organism in Eukaryota, Metazoa, Arthropoda, Insecta, Coleoptera, Lampyridae.
CAUCGAGAUCGAAGAAGAACUAGAGGAAAAUGACGAAGAUGUAGAUGAUCCAGCUGCAGCCGAAGCCGCGGGAAAUUAUCUACAAGAAGGAAGAGCAAUUAGAAAUAGGAUAAUUAGAAAUUAUUUUUAAUUCACAUUAAUUAGGUACGUAUUUGCUACGAUUAAAUAAAACUACGGUUUUUUGUUCACAUUUGUUUACCUACACUGUACUCUUAUCAAGUGUUAAACAGCGAUUAUAUAUUUUAAAAAAAAUAUAUAAAAAAUUUUAAAGCAAACCUCAUGUGAUGAAGAUUAUAUUACACUUGCCCCGUCAAUUUAUACAUAUGCGUAAAUGAGUCUAAUAAGCCGUGGUUGCACUUUCCCACUUUGGCUGGGGCCAAAAUAAAAAAAAUUAUAACAUACUUCUGUUUUGUGUUGUAAAGGAAAUAUGAGCCAAGUCAGUUAAACAACCUUACAAGGAAUCAAUAUUAACUAAAAAUCAUUUUUUUAAUCUUAAAACUGCACAUGUUAUACUUAAUUGAAGUUGAACUAUUAAAAAACAUGGUCGCACUUACCCCACUUUACCUUAACUAAUAACAUUGUCAGAUUCUAUCAUUUCAAGAAUUUCGUCAACAAGUCUUCACAAAUUUCUACUUACUCAGAUCUACUCUGCAAGAACAUACUGCCAUGCUAAAUGCACUUAUGUCAAAACAUGUCGAGUUUGGGGCUGAGGUAGAAGCAGUUGACGAAGAUAUUAUAUGGCGUUACUUCUCGUGCAAACUGAAGAAAACUUACCUACACAAAUUGGAAGAGUAAGUACCUACUUGAAAUCCAAGGAGCACUUCAUGUCAUUUGUAAGUUACCGUAAAACGAGGUGGCUUUGUGACACCCGGGUAGACAAAAGUUGUAUUUACAUAGUGGGACGUGGUAUAUAAAGUAGGUAGUAAGUUGGGUAAAUAGAUGCCCUAAUUGAAGAAUGCCCCAUAUGUAAACAAAACAAAAGCAGUAAAAAGUGCCACGUGAUCAUGGAAUUGCACAGUGUACACGUGUGGCUGGGGUAAGUAUACAUCAGUAAGUAAAUUGUUUUAUAUUUUUAGAUGGGUGUAUUUGAAAAUUUACCUCUUCAGGCGUAAGAGCGAUUGGCCUUUUCUUCAAAUACAAUAAUUUUUAUUGUUUUUGUAACCAGUAGGUACCCACCUACCAAUGUGUAGUUUUCAAGAAUACAGUAUAAAUAGGUUUCCAAUUACUGGGAUCAAUUCAAUUGUAAGCUGUAUCUAUUAAUUGCUGUUGUUAAUUGCACGAUUAAAUCAUUCAUUGUAGCUACUUUAUGUAUAAUAAACUAACACCUCUUUUUCCAGUA